RNAcentral lists this transfer RNA (88 nucleotides) under Acidimicrobiaceae bacterium. RNAcentral describes it as "tRNA-Ser". It matches the Rfam family "tRNA". Rfam says of the family: Transfer RNA (tRNA) molecules are approximately 80 nucleotides in length. Their secondary structure includes four short double-helical elements and three loops (D, anti-codon, and T loops). RNAcentral also lists the same sequence under 1 other name. Lineage: Bacteria; Bacillati; Actinomycetota; Acidimicrobiia; Acidimicrobiales; Acidimicrobiaceae. The record is from RNAcentral.
GGAGGGGUGGCAGAGUGGACGAUUGCGACGGUCUUGAAAACCGUUGAGGCGCAAGCCUCCGGGGGUUCGAAUCCCCCUCCCUCCGCCA